RNAcentral lists this ribosomal RNA (404 nucleotides) under uncultured bacterium. RNAcentral's name for it is "bacterial SSU rRNA". It matches the Rfam family "Bacterial small subunit ribosomal RNA", at positions 355 to 776 of the family's 1533-position model. The record is from RNAcentral.
UGGGGAAUAUUGGACAAUGGGCGCAAGCCUGAUCCAGCAAUACCGCGUGGGUGAUGAAGGUCUUCGGAUUGUAAAGCCCUUUUAGUAGAGAAGAUAAUGACGGUAUCUACAGAAAAAGCACCGGCAAACUUCGUGCCAGCAGCCGCGGUAAUACGAAGGGUGCUAGCGUUGUUCGGAAUCACUGGGCGUAAAGGGUACGUAGGCGGUUUGGUAAGUCGAUUGUGAAAGCCCCAGGCUCAACCUGGGAACUGCAAUCGAAACUACUUUACUUGAGUUUGGUAGGGGAUGGUGGAAUUCCUAGUGUAGGGGUGAAAUCCGUAGAGAUUAGGAAGAACACCAGUGGCGAAGGCGACCAUCUAUGCCAAUACUGACGCUGAGGUACGAAAGCGUGGGGAGCAAACAGG